This 65-nucleotide ribosomal RNA is filed under the name uncultured bacterium. Its description in RNAcentral is "partial 16S ribosomal RNA". The record is from RNAcentral.
UGACCGCAACGGAACGGCGAAGGGACGGCCCCGAACGGUAGUAGUAGUUCGUAGUGAUUGGGGUG